RNAcentral lists this small RNA (145 nucleotides) under Bacillus sp. (in: firmicutes). RNAcentral describes it as "Bacillus sp. c-di-AMP sequence". It matches the Rfam family "c-di-AMP riboswitch aptamer (ydaO/yuaA leader)". Rfam says of the family: This family represents a conserved RNA structure found upstream of the ydaO and yuaA genes in Bacillus subtilis and related genes in other bacteria. The ydaO/yuaA element is thought to act as a genetic "off" switch for the ydaO and yuaA genes in its native state. It is believed that the element may be triggered during osmotic shock leading to activation of ydaO, a predicted amino acid transporter gene, and members of the yuaA-yubG operon which code for KtrA and KtrB K+ transporters. Lineage: Bacteria; Bacillati; Bacillota; Bacilli; Caryophanales; Bacillaceae. The record is from RNAcentral.
AUUCUUAAUUCGCUUAAUCCAUUAUGGAGCGGGGGACCCAAUUUUGCUGGCAUUUUUUGCAGCUUGGGGUGAAUCCUUUACUGGUAGGGCUACUCUCAUUGCCCGAACCCGACAGCUAACUUCGCAAGCGUUCUUGAGAGAGGAU